This 460-nucleotide ribosomal RNA is filed under the name uncultured bacterium. RNAcentral's name for it is "partial 16S ribosomal RNA". It matches the Rfam family "Bacterial small subunit ribosomal RNA", at positions 338 to 795 of the family's 1533-position model. The record is from RNAcentral.
CCUACGGGAGGCAGCAGUGAGGAAUAUUGGUCAAUGGGCGCUGGCCUGAACCAGCCAAGUAGCGUGAAGGAUGACUGCCCUAUGGGUUGUAAACUUCUUUUAUAUGGGAGUAAAGUGCAGACUGUAUACUGCUUUGCAUGUACCUUAUGAAUAAGGAUCGGCUAACUCCGUGCCAGCAGCCGCGGUAAUACGGAGGAUCCGAGCGUUAUCCGGAUUUAUUGGGUUUAAAGGGGGCGUAGGCGGGUUCUUAAGUCAGUUGUGAAAGUUUGGGGGUCAACCGUAAAAUUGCAGUUGAUACUGGUAACCGUGAGUACAGUAGAGGUAGGCGGAAUGCGUGGUGUAGCGGUGAAAUGCUUAGAUAUCACGCAGAACUCCGAUUGCGAAGGCAGCCUGCUGGACUGCAACUGACGCUGAGGCUCGAAAGUGUGGGUAUCAAACAGGAUUAGAUACCCGAGUAGUC